This 101-nucleotide ribosomal RNA is filed under the name uncultured bacterium. Its description in RNAcentral is "partial 16S ribosomal RNA". The record is from RNAcentral.
ACACCGCCCGUCCACACCACGAAAGUUAGGUUAACGAACCCGAACGCAGUGGCCCAACCGCAAGGAAGGAGCUGUCGAUGGUGGGACCAGCGAUUGGGGUG